CCUACGGGAGGCAGCAGUGAGGAAUAUUGGUCAAUGGCCGGAAGGCUGAACCAGCCAAGCCGCGUGAAGGACGAAGGUGCCAAGCAUUGUAAACUUCUUUUGUCAAGGGACAAAAUCAGGCUCGAGAGCCUGACCGAGGGUACUUGAAGAAAAAGCAUCGGCUAACUCCGUGACAGCAGCCGCGGUAAUACGGGGGAUGCGAGCGUUAUCAGGUUUUAUUGGGGUUAAGGGGUGCGAAGGCGGACUGUUAAGUCAGCGGUAAAAGCCCGGGGCUCAACCCCGGCGAGCCGUUGAAACUGGCUGUCUUGAGAUGUCGAGAGGUAUGCGGAAUGCGCAGUGUAGCGGUGAAAUGCUUAGAUAUUGCGCAGAACUCCGAUUGCGAAGGCAGCAUACCGGCGGCGAUCUGACGCUGAGGCACGAAAGCGUGGGUAGCGAACAGGAUUAGAUACCCCAGUAGUC
This 459-nucleotide ribosomal RNA is filed under the name uncultured bacterium. RNAcentral describes it as "partial 16S ribosomal RNA". It matches the Rfam family "Bacterial small subunit ribosomal RNA", at positions 338 to 795 of the family's 1533-position model. The record is from RNAcentral.